CUGUCCCGACCACGGCGGUGCUGCCUACCAACACCAUGUGCAAGACUGCCUGACUUGUCCUCUAUCUUAAUGUUGUCAGCAAGAAGUUACUCCAAAUUCCAUCGCCUAACAAUAUCAUCAGUUGUAAGAAGUUAGGAGUUUGGUACGUACCCCGGUGCAAGAGACCAUGGAUGCAAAAGUCAGAUAAUUAGGAACCUGGACUACAAGGGCAAAUGGGAGGCACCUUUCAUCGACAUUCAGCCCAGGGAACCUCAACUUUCCCACUGUUGUACAUUCAUACUACUGUCCAUG
Molecule: long non-coding RNA, 291 nt
Organism: Triticum dicoccoides
Lineage: Eukaryota; Viridiplantae; Streptophyta; Magnoliopsida; Poales; Poaceae
Exons: 3
Source: RefSeq, a predicted model, not a curated record